This 126-nucleotide small RNA is filed under the name Marmota monax (woodchuck). Lineage: Eukaryota; Metazoa; Chordata; Mammalia; Rodentia; Sciuridae. The record is from RNAcentral.
GGCGGGUGUGGUGGUGCACGCCUUUAAUCCCAGCAGCUUGGGAGGCUGAGGCAGGAGGAUCACAGAGUUCAAAGCCAGCCUCAGCAAAAGGGAAGCACUAAGCAACUCAGUGAGACCCUGUCUCUA